Molecule: non-coding RNA, 2065 nt
Organism: Phoenix dactylifera (date palm)
Lineage: Eukaryota; Viridiplantae; Streptophyta; Magnoliopsida; Arecales; Arecaceae
Source: RefSeq, a predicted model, not a curated record
GGAUGAGCUCGAGAGCGGAAGAGCUCCAUCACUUAGGAUGAGCUCGAGCUUGCUGAUGGAUUUGGGUGCUAUAAUUACAUUUGUGGGGUGGUCCAUUUUUCCACCAACAUUUUUGAAAGAGACUUGCAUUUUGUAUUUACUUGGAAUUUAUGCUCUUAGAAUCUUGCGGGUCAGAUUUGACCAAUAUUAGCUUUUUCUAAGAAAAAAAAUAAGGAAGCUCAUGUUGGUAUUUUCCGAACCAAAAGCCAUAAAAAGAGACCUUAGAGGAUAAUUGAUUAGAAGGAACACUUUAUUACAGCUCAUACCAGCUUGUCAUUCAUGUUACUCCCAAAGGAUUGGACUUGAAAGGGCCAUGGUACUGCAUGCUUUCAGAUCUCUUUAAAUUUACCUCCUUGUCGCUGGAUUAUUAUGAAUUCAGGCUUUUGAUCUCUCAAGAUGAUGUUUAUUUUAAGCAUGUUGUUAUCAUAUACUACUAUGACAAAUCUUUAUUUGGUUCAUUAAUCUUCGGAACAAAACACCCACCAACUCCAAGUUAAUUUGUGAGCCAACUCGCCCGGCGACAAUAUGAAAAUCUUUUACAUACUUCUUUUGUUUGAGACCAUAAUCUUUCAUGUCGCUCCCUUUUUCUUUUGGUUUGCUUGCGUUGCUUUGCCGUGGUUAUUAGUACAAAGUAGCUACAGUGUUUAGCUUUAGUCUGUAAGCAUUGCAUGUGAAGGCGCAGGCCCUCGUGGGGGCUACAGGCUGCUGAACCAUGUGAUGUUUCCUUGAAAACUCAACAAGAGCAGCUAAGCUCAUGCCCGUGUAGUAGUAAAUAAAAGUAAGCUAAAGAUAUUUUCCACACACUUCCUUUAAUCUUUUAUUCUUUCCGAACCACUGCUAAGUAACCUUGUUUCACUUGUUUUUCUUUGAAAUGCACAUAUAAAUUUAUCCAGAGUUCAUGUCAGAUACUGCAUUCGCCAACAGUAAUGUUUGCUACAAGUUUUCCUGCAAAAAAUAUGUUUGAAUACAUAUACGUUCUUACCUCCAAAAAAAAAAAAGAAGAAGAAAGAUUGCGUGUACGCCUUUUUAAGAUGCAGUAUAGUAUAGCAAGUCCAAUUAAGAGGUAUUAUUGAUCAAUAUUCUAGAAAGUUAUGCAUUAGUUUUUUCUGCUUGGAUGCAAUACAAUGUAUAUCUAGUAUACAUUUUUAUUUUUCCUUUUAUUAUAUUUAUAUGAUCAUAUUAUCUACUUAUAAUUGAAUUACAGCCGAGUUUGUUAAUGCAUUUAUCAUUGAGAGGCAUAUUUAAAUAAGCCUCUUGUUCAUCAUAGGGAGUUUAUUAUUAUUGUUGUUAUUUUUUACAAACUGAGCAAUGCUAAAUUCAUCUCACAAACAACCAUAAGAGUCAGAAAUAGUGUCCGAGAAUCUCUAGAGCCUGGAAUGUGUCUUCCAUGCUGUCGCCAUCGCCAUUUCCAUUGGCCAGGCUUGGCACUUGGAUUUGUGAUAUUGCCAAUUUAAUAUGUGCCAUGGAGGAAUUGCAUGUUGGGUUGGAGUGAAGAACUUGGAUCGUCUUCAGUUAUCCACCGGCUGCUGUGGAUGUGAAGGUUAUGGCAGUGGAUAUAUUCUUUCUUCUCCGACCAUGUUCAGCUUGGUUUUCAGCAGGUCAGGUUGCAUCUCGGAGAAUAUGUCGGGCUAUCGGCAGCGGAGCCAGAGCGGCAACUACCAACAGCAGGCAACACUUUCCUCUUCUUCGUAUAAAGGAAGUAAGAAAUGGAGUUAAGAAGAGAGGAGCCAGAGUGCUUGAUGAUGUUCGGGUAAGGACAGUGGUUUGAGAAUGAAUAUGGGAUCUUUCAGCAACCAGAUGUUAACAGGAAAUAAUAUGAAAGUAUGAUUCUUUUCUUGGGCAAAAUAAAUUAUGAUGAUAUGUUUGCUUUCCAAGUAGUGUCAGGUUUUUGAGGAAGGAAGAUAUCCUUGCAUGUGUAAUGAAGAGGGUCUUGUUAAACUUUUACAGGAGACAUAAAGCAGGACCAGCUAGAAACAAUGUAACCUACAUGCUGUAUAUCAUAAAUCAACAAUCCAUCCACUUCACA